AGAGUUUGAUCCUGGCUCAGAUUGAACGCUAGCGGAAUGCCUUACACAUGCAAGUCGAACGGCAGCACGGACUUCGGUCUGGUGGCGAGUGGCGAACGGGUGAGUAAUGCAUCGGAACGUGCCCAGUAGCGGGGGAUAACUACGCGAAAGCGUAGCUAAUACCGCAUACGCCCUACGGGGGAAAGGGGGGGAUCGUAAGACCUCUCACUAUUGGAGCGGCCGAUGUCGGAUUAGCUAGUUGGUGGGGUAAAGGCUCACCAAGGCGACGAUCCGUAGCUGGUUUGAGAGGACGACCAGCCACACUGGGACUGAGACACGGCCCAGACUCCUACGGGAGGCAGCAGUGGGGAAUUUUGGACAAUGGGGGAAACCCUGAUCCAGCCAUUCCGCGUGUGCGAUGAAGGCCUUCGGGUUGUAAAGCACUUUUGGCAGGAAAGAAAUCGGUCGGGUUAAUACCCUGACCGGAUGACGGUACCUGCAGAAUAAGCACCGGCUAACUACGUGCCAGCCGCCGCGGUAAUUC
This 523-nucleotide ribosomal RNA is filed under the name uncultured bacterium. RNAcentral describes it as "bacterial SSU rRNA". It matches the Rfam family "Bacterial small subunit ribosomal RNA", at positions 8 to 526 of the family's 1533-position model. The record is from RNAcentral.